GUCGUUUCAACCCACCCGUUGAGGUUGGAUUCUCUGCUCAGAUUGAACGCUGGCGGCAGGCCUAACACAUGCAAGUCGAGCGGAUGAAGGGAGCUUGCUCCCGGAUUCAGCGGCGGACGGGUGAGUAAUGCCUAGGAAUCUGCCUGGUAGUGGGGGAUAACGUCCGGAAACGGGCGCUAAUACCGCAUACGUCCUGAGGGAGAAAGUGGGGGAUCUUCGGACCUCACGCUAUCAGAUGAGCCUAGGUCGGAUUAGCUAGUUGGUGGGGUAAAGGCCUACCAAGGCGACGAUCCGUAACUGGUCUGAGAGGAUGAUCAGUCACACUGGAACUGAGACACGGUCCAGACUCCUACGGGAGGCAGCAGUGGGGAAUAUUGGACAAUGGGCGAAAGCCUGAUCCAGCCAUGCCGCGUGUGUGAAGAAGGUCUUCGGAUUGUAAAGCACUUUAAGUUGGGAGGAAGGGCAGUAAGUUAAUACCUUGCUGUUUUGACGUUACCAACAGAAUAAGCACCGGCUAACUUCGUGCCAGCAGCCGCGGUAAUACGAAGGGUGCAAGCGUUAAUCGGAAUUACUGGGCGUAAAGCGCGCGUAGGUGGUUCAGCAAGUUGGAUGUGAAAUCCCCGGGCUCAACCUGGGAACUGCAUCCAAAACUACUGAGCUAGAGUACGGUAGAGGGUGGUGGAAUUUCCUGUGUAGCGGUGAAAUGCGUAGAUAUAGGAAGGAACACCAGUGGCGAAGGCGACCACCUGGACUGAUACUGACACUGAGGUGCGAAAGCGUGGGGAGCAAACAGGAUUAGAUACCCUGGUAGUCCACGCCGUAAACGAUGUCGACUAGCCGUUGGGAUCCUUGAGAUCUUAGUGGCGCAGCUAACGCGAUAAGUCGACCGCCUGGAUACGCCACAAAUAAAAAAAAAAAAACCCC
RNAcentral lists this ribosomal RNA (924 nucleotides) under Pseudomonas aeruginosa. RNAcentral describes it as "bacterial SSU rRNA". It matches the Rfam family "Bacterial small subunit ribosomal RNA", at positions 1 to 914 of the family's 1533-position model. Lineage: Bacteria; Pseudomonadati; Pseudomonadota; Gammaproteobacteria; Pseudomonadales; Pseudomonadaceae. The record is from RNAcentral.